This is a long non-coding RNA of Symphalangus syndactylus (siamang), 448 nucleotides long. RefSeq lists it as uncharacterized. NCBI's taxonomy places the organism in Eukaryota, Metazoa, Chordata, Mammalia, Primates, Hylobatidae. The record is from RefSeq and is a predicted model, not a curated record.
CAUUAAUAUCACAGCAGGCUUUAAUUCCAGCAGAAGACUCAUCACCCUUCAGCUGCCCGACAUCCAGCCUGAAGAAUAUGUUUGGAAUUAAGCAGGGAUCUUGGUUGAAAAGAACAUCAGAGCCCUGAGUCACCAUUUAAGAAGUCCGACUACCCUGCUGAAGAGAUCACAUGGAGGGGCUCUGAGACUACAGCCUGAGAGCUGUUCCCACCAAGGUGUCGGGCUUGUGAAUGAAGCCAUCUUGGAUGUUCCAGACUGGCCCAGGUCAGCUGGGGCUCUGCUCUGCAUCUUCCUCCCUCUGGAACCCUAGCUGAGUGAGUGGUCACUAUCUGGAACAUUGCUGGCCAUUGUGACAGAGGGGGCACGGAGCUCUGGAGGGUUUCACACAGACAUGCCUUUUGCCUUCCACCAUGAUUGUGAGGCCUCCCCAGCCACGUGGAACUGUGAG